Molecule: ribosomal RNA, 440 nt
Filed under: uncultured bacterium
Lineage: Bacteria
Description: partial 16S ribosomal RNA
Rfam family: Bacterial small subunit ribosomal RNA
Source: RNAcentral
CCUACGGGAGGCAGCAGUGGGGAAUAUUGCACAAUGGGGGGAACCCUGAUGCAGCGACGCCGCGUGAGUGAAGGAGUAUCUCGGUACGUAAAGCUCUAUCAGCAGGGAAGAAAAUGACGGUAGCUGACUAAAAAGCCCCAGCUAACUACGGUCCAGCAGCCGCGGGAAUACGUAGGGGGCAAGCGUUAUCCGGAUUUACUGGGUGUAAAGGGAGCGUAGACGGCACUGCAAGUCCGGAGUGAAAGCCCAAGGCUUAACCAUGGGACUGCUCUGGAAACUGUGGAGCUUGAGUGCGGGAGGGGCAGGCGGAAUUCCUAGUGGAGCGGUGAAAUGCGUAGAUAUUAGGAGGAACACCGGAGGCGAAGGCGGCCUGCUGGACCGUAACUGACGUUGAGGCUCGAAAGCGUGGGGAGCAAACAGGAUUAGAUACCCGUGUAGUC